CGUAAUGACUGAAGAAUUUUCUUAAACUAGUCUUGCUAAUAAGUAAAAAUGUCUUAACUUCAUCUUAUAGAAAAGUAAAAAUGUCUAGCAUGUUUCUUGUUUUCUUUUUUCUGAUCUUUUGCCCUUUCUGUUUCUAGGCUGCACAUUUUCUUGUGAAAGAGAUCUAAAAUAAUCACCUUUUGCUUUGUCUGCUGGUGCUUAAGGUCUAGAAAAAAGAAGAAUUACAUGAAGAUACGUGGAGACAACAACCUUUUGUAGCCAAGGGGAGAGGUUCAGAAGAAACAAAGCUUGCCGAUACCUUAAUCUUGGGGUCUAACAUCCAGAACAGUGAGAAAUAAAUGUUAUUUAAGCCACUCGGUCUGUGGUAUUGGUGACAACAGUCCAAGCAGACUAAUGCAAGCCCUGAUACAGACUUUAUGCAACUUAAUUCUCCUUUCUCACUCAUGAUUUUCUCCUCUAUAAUAAACUCUAAUUAUCAGUGAUGAAAA
Chlorocebus sabaeus (green monkey) is the source of this 488-nucleotide non-coding RNA. The record is from RefSeq and is a predicted model, not a curated record. Lineage: Eukaryota; Metazoa; Chordata; Mammalia; Primates; Cercopithecidae.